This 103-nucleotide long non-coding RNA is filed under the name Mustela putorius furo (domestic ferret). RNAcentral's name for it is "lncRNA (ENSMPUG00000026786.1)". The record is from RNAcentral. Lineage: Eukaryota; Metazoa; Chordata; Mammalia; Carnivora; Mustelidae.
GUGAAACAGAGUGCUGCUCUUGAAGGCCUUUGGCCCACAAAGUUUCCAUGCUGGACCAAUGCGAGGCUUGACCUCCUGAUCCCAUGAUCAAGACCUAAAAAUC